UGACGGAAAAAACUGCGAAGCUGGCGGCGUGCCUAAUACAUGCAGUCGAGCGGACGAGAUAGAAGGAGCUUGCUCCCUGAUGUUAGCGGCGGACGGGUGAGUAACACGUGGGUAACCUGCCUGUAAGACUGGGAUAACUCCGGGAAACCGGGGCUAAUACCGGAUGCUUGAUUGAACCGCAUGGUUCAAUUAUAAAAGGUGGCUUUUAGCUACCACUUACAGAUGGACCCGCGGCGCAUUAGCUAGUUGGUGAGGUAACGGCUCACCAAGGCAACGAUGCGUAGCCGACCUGAGAGGGUGAUCGGCCACACUGGGACUGAAACACGGCCCAGACUCCUACGGGAGGCAGCAGUAGGGAAUCUUCCGCAAUGGACGAAAGUCUGACGGAGCAACGCCGCGUGAGUGAUGAAGGUUUUCGGAUCGUAAAACUCUGUUGUUAGGGAAGAACAAGUACCGUUCGAAUAGGGCGGUACCUUGACGGUACCUAACCAGAAAGCCACGGCUAACUACGUGCCAGCAGCCGCGGUAAUACGUAGGUGGCAAGCGUUGUCCGGAAUUAUUGGGCGUAAAGCGCGCGCAGGCGGUUUCUUAAGUCUGAUGUGAAAGCCCGCGGCUCAACCGGGGAGGGUCAUUGGAAACUGGGGAACUUGAGUGCAGAAGAGGAGAGUGGAAUUCCACGUGUAGCGGUGAAAUGCGUAGAGAUGUGGAGGAACACAGUGGCGAAGGCGACUCUCUGGUCUGUAACUGACGCUGAGGCGCGAAAGCGUGGGGAGCGAACAGGAUUAGAUACCCUGGUAGUCCACGCCGUAAACGAUGAGUGCUAAGUGUUAGAGGGUUUCCGCCCUUUAGUGCUGCACAAACGCAUUAAGCACUCCGCCUGGGGAGUACGGUCGCAGGACUGG
RNAcentral lists this ribosomal RNA (902 nucleotides) under Bacillus licheniformis. RNAcentral describes it as "bacterial SSU rRNA". It matches the Rfam family "Bacterial small subunit ribosomal RNA", at positions 1 to 897 of the family's 1533-position model. The record is from RNAcentral. Lineage: Bacteria; Bacillati; Bacillota; Bacilli; Caryophanales; Bacillaceae.